Molecule: non-coding RNA, 75 nt
Organism: Myotis brandtii (Brandt's bat)
Lineage: Eukaryota; Metazoa; Chordata; Mammalia; Chiroptera; Vespertilionidae
Source: Rfam
GGCAGUUCUCGGGUGAUGCACCCCGGAAUCGGGCUCCCUCCUCUCUGGUUCUGGGUGCAUCACCCGAGAACCACA